GUGUCAGCCGCCGCGGUAAUACGGAGGAUGCGAGCGUUAUCCGGAUUUAUUGGGUUUAAAGGGUGCGUAGGCGGAUUGGUAAGUCAGUGGUGAAAACCUGCAGCUUAACUGUGGAACUGCCAUUGAUACUGUCAGUCUUGAGUGUGGUCAAGGUAGGCGGAAUGUGUAAUGUAGCGGUGAAAUGCUUAGAUAUUACACAGAACACCGAUUGCGAAGGCAGCUUGCUGGACCAUUACUGACGCUGAUGCACGAAAGCGUGGGGAUCGAACAGGAUUAGAAACCCCAGUAGUCC
RNAcentral lists this ribosomal RNA (292 nucleotides) under uncultured bacterium. RNAcentral's name for it is "partial 16S ribosomal RNA". It matches the Rfam family "Bacterial small subunit ribosomal RNA", at positions 505 to 796 of the family's 1533-position model. The record is from RNAcentral.